This 96-nucleotide ribozyme is filed under the name Aedes aegypti (yellow fever mosquito). RNAcentral's name for it is "drz-agam-1 ribozyme". It matches the Rfam family "drz-agam-1 ribozyme". The record is from Rfam by way of RNAcentral. Lineage: Eukaryota; Metazoa; Arthropoda; Insecta; Diptera; Culicidae.
UGCCCAGCAACUCCUACCCCUACCUCCUCGCGGUACUGGCCGGGGUACGAGUAACCAAUCCCGGUGGAAAAUCUGGUCGUAUGCUGACAGGGAAGG